UGGGGAAUUUUGGACAAUGGGCGCAAGCCUGAUCCAGCCAUGCCGCGUGAGUGAAGAAGGCCUUCGGGUUGUAAAGCUCUUUCGCGAGGGAAGAAAACGCAACGGUUAAUACCUGUUGUGGAUGACGGUACCUUGAUAAGAAGCACCGGCUAACUACGUGCCAGCAGCCGCGGUAAUACGUAGGGUGCGAGCGUUAAUCGGAAUUACUGGGCGUAAAGCGUGCGCAGGCGGUUUUGUAAGACAGGCGUGAAAUCCCCGGGCUCAACCUGGGAAUGGCGCUUGUGACUGCAAGGCUAGAGUAUGGCAGAGGGGGGUAGAAUUCCACGUGUAGCAGUGAAAUGCGUAGAGAUGUGGAGGAAUACCGAUGGCGAAGGCAGCCCCCUGGGCCAAUACUGACGCUCAUGCACGAAAGCGUGGGGAGCAAACA
RNAcentral lists this ribosomal RNA (427 nucleotides) under uncultured bacterium. Its description in RNAcentral is "bacterial SSU rRNA". It matches the Rfam family "Bacterial small subunit ribosomal RNA", at positions 355 to 774 of the family's 1533-position model. The record is from RNAcentral.